AUAACAACUCUCUGGUAUCGAUGAGAUUGUGAUAUUUCCCUUUGAGUCGACAUGUGUAUCAGUCCGCCCGGUGCUAAUUACUCAACCUGUUGAAGUUUCUCUUUGACAUCGUGAUUCAGUGGCAAAAUGUUUUAGAGAGAUUAUACGGUACCCAAAAGUCGGAGGGGUGUGGCCACGGGUGUGGUGACCGCCAGUGUCUCUGAGGGAAGCCAUGGAGCUGCAGGAGGACGCAAGCUCCGCACAUAACUACGGGUUUUCCUCAGGGACUUGACCGCUCCUGGUCUUCAGAAAGCUAUAUGAGCCUGCUUAAGGACAACUUUGUGAAAAGGCAAGCUUCUCUACACAUCUUGAAAUGCUGCCUGGAGCUCCGCCAACUGUCUGCUACAAACAUGGGAGCUUGGCAGCGGAGGAGGAGAGCUUCAGGGCUGCACCGUGUCCAUCGGAGUUGUUUAUAUACCGCGCUGCAAGGUUCGUGGAGAUCACCCGGCCUGCAGACUAUGGGAGAGGGAGCACUCACUGCUGUGGGCUGCUGUGUGGAAUAACUUGUACACGCAAUGGAAGAAAACGAUUGUAACGGCCUGGUCCCAUGGUGAUGCGGAUUUCGUUCUCCCAGGAAUGCAGACGGGCUUCGGACACAGCGUGCAGGGAGGGGUGGUGAUAUUUUGUACGCAGAGAGCUUCAUGGAUUGGGUUUCCAUGGCUGAUCAGCUGCAUCUAAGCAAUAGAUCACCAAGUCCCACAGCACUCUAGAGCAGCGAAGACACCUCUUCUGAAGUGAUGAAUCACACUUUUCCAUCUGGCAAUCUGAUGGACGGAGAACGCCAUGAAUCAAGCCAAAGAGGUGACUGCUAUACAACAGGACAGGCGGUAUUUGGGGACAAGCUGCAGCCUAUCAAAAUUGGCCUGGCUCCUGACUGUUCCGCUGGGCAAGAAAGAACUUGGUGAGGACCCACAAUGGAAAGACCGCUUUCUUUCUUUGUGUCCGUCUAGCAGAAAAAACAUUCAAAGUUACGAUCUGUGCUUCUGAAGGAUAACACUAUGCAAACGGAAAACCACUAAGAUGUUUGUCAGACAACAUGAGGUCUCCGGUCUGGAUUAACUCACUGAGGGAUGCAAAUCCACUCACGCACAACAGUGUGUUGAUCAAGUGGAAAAGAAAAUGACUGUUGAAUACUAAACCCACCACAAAGUGCCAUCUCAUUGAGUAUUUGCCGACAUGUGAGUCAACCCUUUUAUGUGGAGUCCAUUUUGGACCACAACAACAUACAUACAGCAAUGAUGUCUCUCAACUCGAGACUUGUAGAUGUAACAAUUGGAUUUAGAGUGGACUGUGAAUGAAAAAUAUUUUUAAUCUACAAUCACGAUACAAGUGCGAUUGUCCAUUGAGACACAUUACAACGAAAUAAGGAAAAGAUACAGAACCAAUAGAUUUGAACAGUGCGUAUGCAGCGUGGCCCAAAGGGCAGCUGGGGAAAAGUAAAGAGGCAGGCAAAAAGAUGAGGAACACUAUAUUGACAAAAUUAUUUGGCUACCCAUCCAAAUGAUGAGAAUCAGGUGCCCUAAUUACUUGGCCUGGUGUAUACAAUAAAGCAUUUAGGCACUGAGACUGUUUCUACAAACAUUUGUGAAAGAAUGGGCCACUCUCAGUGAUAUCCAGCGUGGAACUGUCAUAGGAUGCCACCUGUGCAACAUAUCCAGUCGUGAAAUUUCCUCGCUCCUUAAUAUAUAAGAAAAGUGAAAAGUUUGGGAACAACAGCAACUCAGCCACAAAGUGGUAGGCCACGUAAACUGACAGGGAAGGGUCAGCGGAUGCUGAAGCGCAUAGUGCAAAGACUUCCUGCACAGUCAGUUGCUACAGACCUCCAAACUUCAUUCGACCUUCGAGUUAGCCCACGUACAGUACGCAGAGAGCUUCAUGGACUGGUGUCCGUGGCCGAGCAACUGCAUUUAAGCCAUAC
Nerophis ophidion (straightnose pipefish) is the source of this 1957-nucleotide long non-coding RNA. RefSeq lists it as uncharacterized. Lineage: Eukaryota; Metazoa; Chordata; Actinopteri; Syngnathiformes; Syngnathidae. The transcript has 8 exons. The record is from RefSeq and is a predicted model, not a curated record.